This 253-nucleotide ribosomal RNA is filed under the name uncultured bacterium. RNAcentral's name for it is "partial 16S ribosomal RNA". It matches the Rfam family "Bacterial small subunit ribosomal RNA", at positions 524 to 776 of the family's 1533-position model. The record is from RNAcentral.
UACGAAGGGGGCUAGCGUUGCUCGGAAUCACUGGGCGUAAAGCGCACGUAGGCGGCUUUUUAAGUCAGGGGUGAAAUCCUGGAGCUCAACUCCAGAACUGCCUUUGAUACUGGCGACCUUGAGUCCGGGAGAGGUGAGUGGAACUGCGAGUGUAGAGGUGAAAUUCGUAGAUAUUCGCAAGAACACCAGUGGCGAAGGCGGCUCACUGGCCCGGUACUGACGCUGAGGUGCGAAAGCGUGGGGAGCAAACAGG